Molecule: non-coding RNA, 227 nt
Organism: Pelobates cultripes (western spadefoot toad)
Lineage: Eukaryota; Metazoa; Chordata; Amphibia; Anura; Pelobatidae
Source: the annotation of a GenBank genome assembly
GGUUAAAGGAAAUCCAGAAAAAGAAUAGAGUCUAUAGAGUCUCAUAGACCGCGGUUGUGAAGGAUGAGAAGACGUAGUUGAUGAUCAACAAUGUCAAAAGCAGCAUAUUAGUCAAAAAGAAUUAGAAGUGACCACAGGAAUUAGGUAAUUGGAAACUUUGGUCAGGGCUGUUUCGACAGAGUGAUGAGUGCGGGAUCCAGAUUGAAGCAGGUCAAGUUAAAUGCAAG